AGAGAGCGGCGUACGGGUGCGUAACACGUGUGCAACCUGCCUUUAUCUGGGGGAUAGCCUUUCGAAAGGAAGAUUAACACCCCAUAAUAUAUUGAAUGGCAUCAUUUAAUAUUGAAAACUCCGGUGGAUAGAGAUGGGCACGCGCAAGAUUAGAUAGUUGGUGAGGUAACGGCUCACCAAGUCAAUGAUCUUUAGGGGGCCUGAGAGGGUGAUCCCCCACACUGGUACUGAGACACGGACCAGACUCCUACGGGAGGCAGCAGUGAGGAAUAUUGGACAAUGGGUGAAAGCCUGAUCCAGCCAUCCCGCGUGAAGGACGACGGCCCUAUGGGUUGUAAACUUCUUUUGUACAGGAAUAAACCAUUCUACGUGUAGGAUGCUGAAGGUACUGUACGAAUAAGCACCGGCUAACUCCGUGCCAGCAGCCGCGGUAAUACGGAGGGUGCAAGCGUUAUCCGGAUUUAUUGGGUUUAAAGGGUCCGUAGGCGGACCGAUAAGUCAGUGGUGAAAUCUCGCAGCUUAACUGCGAA
This 530-nucleotide ribosomal RNA is filed under the name uncultured Chryseobacterium sp. RNAcentral's name for it is "bacterial SSU rRNA". It matches the Rfam family "Bacterial small subunit ribosomal RNA", at positions 90 to 619 of the family's 1533-position model. Lineage: Bacteria; Pseudomonadati; Bacteroidota; Flavobacteriia; Flavobacteriales; Weeksellaceae. The record is from RNAcentral.